RNAcentral lists this ribosomal RNA (253 nucleotides) under uncultured bacterium. RNAcentral describes it as "partial 16S ribosomal RNA". It matches the Rfam family "Bacterial small subunit ribosomal RNA", at positions 524 to 776 of the family's 1533-position model. The record is from RNAcentral.
UACGGAGGGUGCAAGCGUUAUCCGGAUUCACUGGGUUUAAAGGGUGCGUAGGUGGGUUGGUAAGUCAGUGGUGAAAUCUCCGUGCUUAACAUGGAAACUGCCAUUGAUACUACUGGUCUUGAAUUUUCUGGAGGUAAGCGGAAUAUGUCAUGUAGCGGUGAAAUGCUUAGAUAUGACAUAGAACACCAAUUGCGAAGGCAGCUCACUAAGUCAUAACUGACGCUGAUGCACGAAAGCGUGGGGAGCAAACAGG